UGUGCCAGCAGCCGCGGUAAUUCCAGCUCCAAUAGCGUAUAUUAAAGUUGUUGCGGUUAAAAAGCUCGUAGUUGGAUUUCUGUUCCAGACUGACGGUCCACCGAAUCGGUGGCGACUGUCAGGCCUGAACAUCCCGUCGGUUUGAAACGGGGGUCGGUGGCGUGCGUUUAGGCGUGCGUUGCCGUGCCACCCUUCCCGCGGUGCUCUUCGUUGAGUGUCGCGGGAGGCCGACAAGUUUACUUUGAAAAAAUUAGAGUGCUCAAAGCAGGCGUGUCAGCCUGAAUAAUGGUGCAUGGAAUGAUGGAAUAGGACCUCGGUUCUAUUUUGUUGGUUUUCGCAACUCGAGGUAAUGAUUAAGAGGGACAGACGGGGGCAUUCGUAUUGCGACGCUAGGGGUGAAAUUCUUGGACCGUCGCAAGAGAACUAUUGCGAAAGCUUUGCCAGGAAUGUUUUCUUAUUUCUAGAACGAAAGUU
RNAcentral lists this ribosomal RNA (474 nucleotides) under Hiatella arctica. RNAcentral's name for it is "SSU rRNA". It matches the Rfam family "Eukaryotic small subunit ribosomal RNA", at positions 563 to 991 of the family's 1831-position model. The record is from RNAcentral. Lineage: Eukaryota; Metazoa; Mollusca; Bivalvia; Adapedonta; Hiatellidae.